Molecule: non-coding RNA, 431 nt
Organism: Microcebus murinus (gray mouse lemur)
Lineage: Eukaryota; Metazoa; Chordata; Mammalia; Primates; Cheirogaleidae
Source: RefSeq, a predicted model, not a curated record
AUCUCAGAACCCGCUAGCCAAGCUCCAUGGCUCCUCCAUCUUGGAAAGACACCACCUGGAGUUCGGCAAAACGCUGCUCAGAGAAGAGAACCUGAAUAUCUUUCAAAACCUCAAUCGCCGACAACAUGAGCAUGCCAUCCACAUGAUGGACAUCGCCAUCAUAGCCACCGACCUCGCCUUGUAUUUCAAGAAGAGGACAAUGUUCCAGAAGAUCGUGGAUCAGUCUAAGACGUACGAGACGGAACAGGAGUGGACGCAGUACAUGAUGCUGGAGCAGACGCGGAAGGAGAUCGUUAUGUGAGUUGAGACAGGGAUCAAACCCUGAUCCUCUUAAGCCCCGGGUCACGAGGUGAGACGCUGCACUGACAGCUUUAGCUGACCUCGACAAGCCCCGGCAGACUUUCCAUUUUGGAGGUCUCCAACAUAUGAAA